GUUUCUCCGGAAACACAGGUAAGGUUGAAAAGGCAGGGUAAGAGCCUACCGCAGUUUUGGUGACAAAACUGGCAGUGUAAACCCCACCCGUUGCAAGUCCAAAUAGGACCGCGAUCAGGCUGCCCGCCUGGCGGUCGGGUAGGACGCUAGAGGCUGUCGGUAACGGUAGUCCCAGAUAAAUGGUCAUGGCUCACUACUGUGAGAACAGAACCCGGCUUAUUUCCGGCUUUGAUUU
Molecule: RNase P RNA, 235 nt
Filed under: Pseudomonadota bacterium
Lineage: Bacteria; Pseudomonadati; Pseudomonadota
Description: Proteobacteria bacterium (marine metagenome) partial RNase P RNA component class A
Rfam family: Bacterial RNase P class A
About the family: Ribonuclease P (RNase P) is a ubiquitous endoribonuclease, found in archaea, bacteria and eukarya as well as chloroplasts and mitochondria. Its best characterised activity is the generation of mature 5'-ends of tRNAs by cleaving the 5'-leader elements of precursor-tRNAs.
Source: RNAcentral